CCUACGGGAGGCAGCAGUAGGGAAUAUUGCUCAAUGGGGGAAACCCUGAAGCAGCAACGCCGCGUGGAGGAUGAAGGUUUUAGGAUUGUAAACUCCUUUUGUUAGAGAAGAUUAUGACGGUAUCUAACGAAUAAGCACCUGCUAACUCCGUGCCAGCAGCCGCGGUAAUACGGAGGGUGCAAGCGUUACUCGGAAUCACUGGGCGUAAAGAGUGCGUAGGCGGGGUAAGAAGUCAGAUGUGAAAUCCUGUGGCUUAACUACAGAACUGCAUUUGAAACUGUUACUCUGGAGUGUGGGAGAGGUGGGUGGAAUUCUUGGUGUAGGGGUAAAAUCCGUAGAGAUCAAGAGGAAUACUCAUUGCGAAGGCGACCUGCUGGAAAAUUACUGACGCUGAUGCACGAAAGCGUGGGGAGCAAACAGGAUUAGAUACCCCUGUAGUC
RNAcentral lists this ribosomal RNA (440 nucleotides) under uncultured bacterium. Its description in RNAcentral is "partial 16S ribosomal RNA". It matches the Rfam family "Bacterial small subunit ribosomal RNA", at positions 338 to 795 of the family's 1533-position model. The record is from RNAcentral.